Molecule: long non-coding RNA, 703 nt
Filed under: Solanum tuberosum (potato)
Lineage: Eukaryota; Viridiplantae; Streptophyta; Magnoliopsida; Solanales; Solanaceae
Description: long non-coding RNA (STUB_LNC008907)
Source: RNAcentral
UAAUGUCCCAGUGGCUAUCUUUUAAACAUUAUUUCCUGUUUUACCAACAUGCUUCAAUGAAUGAGUUGUUACGAACAAUGUGUUCUGCCCUUUUAGUUAGUAUUACUCCUAUUAGACUAAUAAGUUCGAAUUUCGUUAUAGUGUGCAAAAUUCGCUAUGCUAUGAUCUUAUGUAAUCAAAAUUGGUUUUUGUAAUAAGAGUUAACAUCUAUUUUUAGCAUCAGGAUAUAAUCAAUUAUAUUUUUAAUCUCUGUUUUCUUUCAAAAGUAUGCUCAAAAUACCCCAACGACUUAAUCACGCAUCCCCUUAAUACUUGUUGUACAAAUUACGUCUUAAAGUUUCCUUAUCAACCUUAUCUAAAUGAAUCUAAGAGUAAGAGUAUGUUUGGCUUUGAACUCGUUUUGUUAAGAUUUCAUAGUUUGUGUCAAGCAAGAUUUAUUCACCAAGUUGACAAACCAUGGUCUACGUUCUAGCAUACAUACUUUCUUUUGAUAUUUGUUGCUUUUGAAAUCCUAACCUAUCUUGAAAUUUGUCUAUAAGGUUAACUUUAGAAACUUUUUUAAAUCUUUUCCUUUCUCUGUUGUGACUAAAAGAAUCCUCUGUUAAAGCAUAAUGUUUUGCAUCUGAUGUAGCCGAACUUAGUCUAUCAAUUGAUAGUCUCAUUAAUCUAUCUGUCAAUAGUCUAAGAUAUUUGUCGUUUUGGC